Long non-coding RNA from Paramormyrops kingsleyae, 382 nucleotides. RefSeq lists it as uncharacterized. The record is from RefSeq and is a predicted model, not a curated record. Lineage: Eukaryota; Metazoa; Chordata; Actinopteri; Osteoglossiformes; Mormyridae.
GGUACAGCAACCUCAUAACUGCCAACGCUGCACCGAUCUGUCUAUCGAUCUGCUGUCUGGGUGUAAACAGGCUGCUGUGAUGAUGAUGAGGACCAAUGUGACAGACUGUACUCAGGAUCAGGCACCGCAGAGGCGAGGAGGUACAGUAAGGGCACAUUCCAUCUUUAACGAAGAGGACAACUUCACCUUACAGGCAGUGCUAUGAUAAACUUUGGCAGGCGAGCCGGGAAGCAGGCGAGAUCAGCCGGAGAUACGGGUAAACGAGUUUUAAUUGUAACGAAAGGUGAGACAGGCAUGGACAUUAACGUACAAUACAAUGACGGAUCUGGCAAGACGUACUCAGACGCGGACUAAAUACACAAGACUAGCCAGAAAUAACGGG